UGCCAGACUCCUACGGGAGGCAGCAGUGGGGGAUAUUGGACAAUGGGGGGAACCCUGAUCCAGCGACGCCGCGUGAGUGAAGAAGUAUCUCGGUAUGUAAAGCUCUAUCAGCAGGGAAGAAGAAAUGACGGUACUUGAGUAAGAAGCCCCGGCUAACUACGUGCCAGCAGCCGCGGUAAUACGUAGGGGGCAAGCGUUAAUCGGAAUUACUGGGCGUAAAGCGCUCGUAGGCGGUAUGUCAAGUCAAGGGUGAAAUCCCCGCGCUCAACGUGGGAACUGCCUUUGAAACUGGCAAACUGGAGUGUGUGAGAGGAUAGUGGAAUUCCAGGUGUAGGAGUGAAAUCCGUAGAUAUCUGGAGGAACAUCAGUGGCGAAGGCGACUAUCUGGCACAUAACUGACGCUGAGGAGCGAAAGCGUGGGUAGCAAACAGGAUUAGAUACCCUCGUAAG
RNAcentral lists this ribosomal RNA (450 nucleotides) under uncultured bacterium. RNAcentral's name for it is "bacterial SSU rRNA". It matches the Rfam family "Bacterial small subunit ribosomal RNA", at positions 329 to 793 of the family's 1533-position model. The record is from RNAcentral.